AUAUGGUCGUAAUAUAAUGGUAAGGUUUUUGUGAACUAUGAAAGAGAUAUAUGAUUUGUCCAUGUGCAAGGAAAUGAUAUUUUGACCAGGACAAUGCUGGAGCUGGACCAAAUUCUACGAGCAAAUGAAAUUAACUUUGCAAUUCUAGCUGCAUUACCUGCUUUCAUUCUCUCUCUCUUACUCAUCAUGUUAGUGCGUGCAUGGUUGAAA
Molecule: long non-coding RNA, 210 nt
Filed under: Arachis ipaensis
Lineage: Eukaryota; Viridiplantae; Streptophyta; Magnoliopsida; Fabales; Fabaceae
Description: long non-coding RNA (AIPA_LNC002205)
Source: RNAcentral